RNAcentral lists this ribosomal RNA (593 nucleotides) under uncultured bacterium. RNAcentral's name for it is "bacterial SSU rRNA". It matches the Rfam family "Bacterial small subunit ribosomal RNA", at positions 527 to 1118 of the family's 1533-position model. The record is from RNAcentral.
GUAGGGCGCGAGCGUUAUCCGGAAUUAUUGGGCGUAAAGAGCUCGUAGGCGGUUUGUCGCGUCUGCCGUGAAAGUCCGGGGCUUAACCCCGGAUCUGCGGUGGGUACGGGCAGACUGGAGUGCAGUAGGGGAGACUGGAAUUCCUGGUGUAGCGGUGAAAUGCGCAGAUAUCAGGAGGAACACCGAUGGCGAAGGCAGGUCUCUGGGCUGUUACUGACGCUGAGGAGCGAAAGCAUGGGGAGCGAACAGGAUUAGAUACCCUGGUAGUCCAUGCCGUAAACGUUGGGCACUAGGUGUGGGGGCCAUUCCACGGUUUCCGCGCCGCAGCUAACGCAUUAAGUGCCCCGCCUGGGGAGUACGGCCGCAAGGCUAAAACUCAAAGGAAUUGACGGGGGCCCGCACAAGCGGCGGAGCAUGCGGAUUAAUUCGAUGCAACGCGAAGAACCUUACCAAGGCUUGACAUGUUCCCGACCGGGCCAGAGAUGGUCCUUCCCCUUUGGGGCGGGUCACAGGUGGUGCAUGGUUGUCGUCAGCUCGUGUCGUGAGAUGUUGGGUUAAGUCCCGCAACGAGCGCAAACCUCGUUCCAUGUUGC